GACGAACGCUGGCGGCGUGCUUAACACAUGCAAGUCGAACGGAAAGGCCCUGCUUUUGUGGGGUGCUCGAGUGGCGAACGGGUGAGUAACACGUGAGUAACCUGCCCUUGACUUUGGGAUAACUUCAGGAAACUGGGGCUAAUACCGGAUAGGAGCUCCUGCUGCAUGGUGGGGGUUGGAAGUUUCGGCGGUUGGGGAUGGACUCGCGGCUUAUCAGCUUGUUGGUGGGGUAGUGGCUUACCAAGGCUUUGACGGGUAGCCGGCCUGAGAGGGUGACCGGCCACAUUGGGACUGAGAUACGGCCCAGACUCCUACGGGAGGCAGCGGUGGGGAAUAUUGCAAAAUGGGCGGAAGCCUGAUGCAGCAACGCCGCGUGCGGGAUGACGGCCUUCGGGUUGUAAACCGCUUUCGCCUGUGACGAAGCGUGAGUGACGGUAAUGGGUAAAGAAGCACCGGCUAACUACGUG
RNAcentral lists this ribosomal RNA (467 nucleotides) under uncultured bacterium. RNAcentral's name for it is "partial 16S ribosomal RNA". It matches the Rfam family "Bacterial small subunit ribosomal RNA", at positions 28 to 507 of the family's 1533-position model. The record is from RNAcentral.